AAAGGAAAAAACAAAACCC
RNAcentral lists this microRNA (19 nucleotides) under Corchorus capsularis. RNAcentral's name for it is "sRNA CCACVL1_28975". Lineage: Eukaryota; Viridiplantae; Streptophyta; Magnoliopsida; Malvales; Malvaceae. The record is from RNAcentral.